This 952-nucleotide ribosomal RNA is filed under the name unidentified. RNAcentral's name for it is "bacterial SSU rRNA". It matches the Rfam family "Bacterial small subunit ribosomal RNA", at positions 48 to 989 of the family's 1533-position model. The record is from RNAcentral.
CUAACACAUGCAAGUCGUGCGGGGUGGCUCUGCCACCCAGCGGCAAACGGGUGAGUAACACGUGAGUAACCUGCCCUCAGGAAGGGGAUAACCCGGGGAAACUCGGGCUAAUACCCUAUAAUGUCUGGAGUCACUGAGGCUCCAGACCAAAGGUGGCCUCUGCUCUGCAUGCUACCGCCUGAGGAGGGGCUCGCGGCCCAUCAGGUAGUUGGUGGGGUAACGGCCUACCAAGCCUAUGACGGGUAGCCGGCCUGAGAGGGUGUCCGGCCACAGUGGGACUGAGACACGGCCCACACCCCUACGGGGGGCAGCAGUGGGGAAUCGUGGGCAAUGGGCGAAAGCCUGACCCCGCGACGCCGCGUGGAGGAAGAAGCCCUUCGGGGUGUAAACUCCUGUCAGGGGGGAAGAUGCUCACAGGGGUGAAUAAUCUCUGUGGGUGACGGUACCCCCAGAGGAAGGGACGGCUAACUACGUGCCAGCAGCCGCGGUAAUACGUAGGUCCCGAGCGUUGCGCGAAUUCACUGGGCGUAAAGCGUCCGCAGCCGGAUGGGUAAGCGGUUCGUCAAAGCCCACCGCUCAACGGUGGAAAGGCGUACCGAACUGCUCAUCUUGAGGCACGCUCAGGCAGGCGGAAUUCCCGGUGUAGCGGUGAAAUGCGUAGAUAUCGGGAGGAACACCGAAGGCGAAGGCAGCCUGCUGGGGCUGUUCUGACGGUCAGGGACGAAAGCUGGGGGAGCAAACCGGAUUAGAUACCCGGGUAGUCCCAGCCGUAAACCAUGGGCGCUAGACGUCGUCCGCAAGGGCGGUGUCUCAGCUAACGCGUUAAGCGCCCCGCCUGGGGAGUACGGGCGCAAGCCUGAAACUCAAAGGAAUUGGCGGGGGCCCGCACAACCGGUGGAGCGUCUGGUUCAAUUCGAUGCUAACCGAAAAACCUUACCCGGGUUUGACAUGA